CACGUAGUUAGCCGGUGCUUCUUCUCCACGGUACCGUCACCCACCAGGUGGGCUUCGUCCCGGGCGAAAGGAGUUUACAACCCGAAGGCCUUCCAUCCCCCACGCGGCGUCGCUGCAUCAGGCUUGCGCCCAUUGUGCAAUAUUCCCCACUGCUGCCUCCCGUAGGAGUCUGGGCCGUGUCUCAGUCCCGAUGUGGCCGUCCACCCUCUCAGGCCGGCUACCCGUCGCCGCCUUGGUAGGCCAUUACCCCACCAACAAGCUGAUAGGCCGCGGGCUCAUCCCACACCGCAAAAGCUUUCCACCACACUGUCUACAGUGUGGUCGUAUGUGGUAUUAGACCAGUUCCCAGGCUUAUCCCACAGUGCGGGGCAGAUCACCCACGUGUUACUCACCCGUUCGCCACUCGAGUACCCACCACCAAGGUCGGUCGGGCCUUUCCGUUCGACUUGCAUGUGUUAAGCACGCCGCCAGCGUUCGUCCUGAGCCAGGAUACAAACGUACUCUACGAGUAC
RNAcentral lists this ribosomal RNA (512 nucleotides) under uncultured Corynebacteriaceae bacterium. Its description in RNAcentral is "partial 16S ribosomal RNA". Lineage: Bacteria; Bacillati; Actinomycetota; Actinomycetes; Mycobacteriales; Corynebacteriaceae. The record is from RNAcentral.